This 278-nucleotide long non-coding RNA is filed under the name Lathyrus oleraceus (garden pea). RNAcentral describes it as "Pisum sativum (pea) long non-coding RNA (PSAT_LNC024330)". The record is from RNAcentral. Lineage: Eukaryota; Viridiplantae; Streptophyta; Magnoliopsida; Fabales; Fabaceae.
UCUCAAUCUCUACAAAAAUCGCCCUAACUAUUUCCCAACUAAUUCUUCAAUGUAGCAUGGGCAGACCCAACUCAGUUAGUUGUUGUAUUUUCAAGGUGUCUAACCUGAUCGAUCCAAGCACAAACAAUUUUCUCCUUCACCUGAUCUAGAAUUGUGCUUUCAACAUAUUUCAAUAAACUAGGCUAUUUUUCGCACAUUUUCUUGAAAUGCAUAACGAAAUUAACAUAUAAUUCUUUAAUGGAAGAAUUUACUAUUUGAUUCCAUGCAUCCAUUAUUUU